This is a long non-coding RNA of Brassica napus (rape), 1709 nucleotides long. RefSeq lists it as uncharacterized. The record is from RefSeq and is a predicted model, not a curated record. NCBI's taxonomy places the organism in Eukaryota, Viridiplantae, Streptophyta, Magnoliopsida, Brassicales, Brassicaceae. The transcript has 4 exons.
UUGUCGUUUCAUAGAUUAGGUUUUCAUUGUUCUCAUUCUUCAACCCUUCAACGCCAUGAAUCUCUGUUAAUUUUCACAAGUCUGCAAAACACGUUUCUUUCUCAACUCUUAACCUCCCAACUUUGUUCAUAUACAUAUUUUCGUUUGGGUUUGUUCAACGUAUUCCUCUUUAAUUUGACAAUGAAUUUUUCUUUCCCAUUAAUGAUCUCCAACUCUCCGUCUCCCUUCUCAGACAAUGAAAACCGUAAAUUCACCUCUCAAAUUCUAUAAAUUAGAGAUGGUUGGGUUGAGAGUAGGAUGAAUCUACACAGAUUCUCUCAGUUUAUCUUCUACCUCAAACCAAGCACCCGUCCACCACUCAACCUUUGAUCCUUUAAUGCUCUCCGACUCAGCAGAUCUUCUCAGCUCGGGUAAUCGUUUUAGGACUCUCGAAACAUCAAGAAGAACGGUGAAUUCAUGGGAAUCACUUUACUUCUCUUCAUCUUAUUAGGCUAAGAAGAUCAUAUAUUCCCAUCUCUGUUUCAUUUUUGAAAAAGCCAUAUUAUUUAACUCUUCUAGCUUUCAACGUAGGAUACAGUGAUCCGGCGGCUGAGCCACGUCCCGGUGGUGCUCGCGAUCCCACCAGAAUUGCAGACCUGAGAGUUGUUGGUGUUGGAGAAGAGAAGUGUCGCUAACCUCUUCGUAAGGCCAUAGCUCUCUAGGAUCGUUGGAGGAGUUGUGGGAAUCAACAGAUCUGCUCAGUAAUAGUAUAAGGUGUCGGUUGUUUAUGUGAUCUGUGGAGCAUUGUGUUGCAGAGAGAGAGCUUCUCCGAAUGGUGAGGCUGCAGCAGAAAGCAGUGACGUUGAGAAAAAAGCAUAAUUGAUGUGGCUUCAACUUUGGAACCUGAGGAAGCAGACAAUGGAGUAGGCUACAGUACUCUGGUCAACCAACAAAGGAGUAUAUCGACUAUGCAGUUAAAAAUGUUCUGUUAUACAUGGUUUGCUUGGAAUCAAGGUUAAGGUCAUGCUUGACUGGGACUCUAUUAGGAAGCUAGGACCAAUGACACCAUUACCAGAUGUUGUUAUCAUCCAUACUCCCAAAUGAAAAGAUGUUAAUUCCGCACCUGAUCAGGUUGUUAAUUUUGCUGCUCUUCUAUUGGAAGCUCCCCUCACCCUCACAGCCGUAGAUUACCCUGAGAUGAUCUCAGUCGUCUAGAAGAGAUGGCCAGGAAAGCCUCAUGUUCUUCAUAAAAGUAACCUUUCUAAUGGAGAGAACUUACUCUAUAUGUUGGAUUCAAUAUUGUCAUCACUCUUGAGAUAUAUGCUGAGAAGAGUGCUAAUGGAUGGGCGAGUCUGAUGGUGAGGGCCACUGAGUUGAGCAUUCCAGCAAAGCGGAAAACUCCUCCCUUGGUAUCUAUUUGCGCAAAGCAAGUGGAAAGAGUCACAAAAGUUGCUCAAAACCAGGAGAUUAUAAAGUCACAAGUGGUGGUUAGAGUUUAUUUUUUUCUUUUUACAGUUGUGAUCUGUGGGAUCAUUAUGAUUCACCCUGCUGGGCUGAGGGAGAAGCUAUCUUCAGACAUGUGAUUUGUUAUCUCUUAAAUUUAGCCAUUAUAGAGAGGUAGGGUGAGACCUUUACAGAUGUUAUGAAAGUAUUUAUGAUUGUUGUUUUAUACAUUUUGCAGAUUGUCAUCACUCUUGAGAUAUAUGUUAUUGAGUAUAUUGUUUGGAUUC